Molecule: ribosomal RNA, 468 nt
Filed under: uncultured bacterium
Lineage: Bacteria
Description: partial 16S ribosomal RNA
Rfam family: Bacterial small subunit ribosomal RNA
Source: RNAcentral
GACGAACGCUGGCGGCGUGCUUAACACAUGCAAGUCGAACGGAAAGGCCCUGCUUUUGUGGGGUGCUCGAGUGGCGAACGUGUGAGUAACACGUGAGUAACCUGCCCUUGACUUUGGGAUAACUUCAGGAAACUGGGGCUAAUACCGGAUAGGAGCUCCUGCUGCAUGGUGGGGGUUGGAAAGUUUCGGCGGUUGGGGAUGGACUCGCGGCUUAUCAGCUUGUUGGUGGGGUAGUGGCUUACCAAGGCUUUGACGGGUAGCCGGCCUGAGAGGGUGACCGGCCACAUUGGGACUGAGAUACGGCCCAGACUCCUACGGGAGGCAGCAGUGGGGAAUAUUGCACAAUGGGCGGAAGCCUGAUGCAGCAACGCCGCGUGCGGGAUGACGGCCUUCGGGUUGUAAACCGCUUUCGCCUGUGACGAAGCGUGAGUGACGGUAACGGGUAAAGAAGCACCGGCUAACUACGUG